GAUGAAUAACGUAGCGAAAUGCGAUAAGUAAUGCGAAUUGCAGAUCUCCGUGAGUCAUUGAAUCUUUGAACGCACAUUGCGCCCUCGGGUAUUCCCGAGGGCAUGCCUGUCCGAGCGUCAUUAUCCAACCAUCAAGCUCGGCUUGCGGUUGAGCCCCGCACCGUCCCCGGGACGGUGGGCUCGAAACAUGUUGGGCGCCCGUGAGGUUGUCGGUGCAGCGAGCUCUCGAGCACGUGCCGGGCAACCGCUCUGGGCGUCGGCCAGCCCCCCCAUUUUCUCAGGUUGACCUCGGAUCAGGUAGGAAUACCCGCUGAACUUAAGCAUAUCAAUAAGCGGAGGA
This 340-nucleotide unclassified non-coding RNA is filed under the name soil metagenome. RNAcentral describes it as "partial contains 5.8S ribosomal RNA, internal transcribed spacer 2, and large subunit ribosomal RNA". The stretch from base 1 to 120 matches the Rfam family "5.8S ribosomal RNA", at positions 35 to 154 of the family's 154-position model. The record is from RNAcentral.